This 72-nucleotide transfer RNA is filed under the name Marmota monax (woodchuck). RNAcentral describes it as "tRNA.Ala". It matches the Rfam family "tRNA". Rfam says of the family: Transfer RNA (tRNA) molecules are approximately 80 nucleotides in length. Their secondary structure includes four short double-helical elements and three loops (D, anti-codon, and T loops). Lineage: Eukaryota; Metazoa; Chordata; Mammalia; Rodentia; Sciuridae. The record is from RNAcentral.
UGGGGUGUGGCUCAGUGGUAGAGCACUCGCCUAGCACGUGGGAGGUCCUGGGUUCGAUCUUCAGCACCAGAU